AUUUACAUAGUUUAAACAAAACAUUACAUUUUCAUUGUAAAAUUAGAUCCAUUCUUGUAAAUA
RNAcentral lists this transfer RNA (63 nucleotides) under Propomacrus davidi. Its description in RNAcentral is "tRNA-Glu". Lineage: Eukaryota; Metazoa; Arthropoda; Insecta; Coleoptera; Glaphyridae. The record is from RNAcentral.